GUAGAUGAUGAAAAUGCACUGGGCUCUGAGCUAACUGUUGACAACAGCUAAGCUUAUGUGAUGCACAUUUGCAGCCUAGAAAGCUAUGUCUGAUCA
This is a small nucleolar RNA of Mercurialis annua (annual mercury), 96 nucleotides long. The record is from RefSeq and is a predicted model, not a curated record. Lineage: Eukaryota; Viridiplantae; Streptophyta; Magnoliopsida; Malpighiales; Euphorbiaceae.